GACGAACGCUGGCGGCGUGCUUAACACAUGCAAGUCGAACGAUGAAGCCUAGCUUGCUAGGUGGAUUAGUGGCGAACGGGUGAGUAAUACGUGAGUAACCUACCUUUAACUCUGGGAUAAGCCUGGGAAACUGGGUCUAAUACCGGAUACGACCAAUCUCCGCAUGGGGUGUUGGUGGAAAGCGUUAUGUAGUGGUUAUAGAUGGGCUCACGGCCUAUCAGCUUGUUGGUGAGGUAACGGCUCACCAAGGCGACGACGGGUAGCCGGCCUGAGAGGGUGACCGGCCACACUGGGACUGAGACACGGCCCAGACUCCUACGGGAGGCAGCAGUGGGGAAUAUUGCACAAUGGGCGCAAGCCUGAUGCAGCGACGCCGCGUGAGGGAUGACGGCCUUCGGGUUGUAAACCUCUGUUAGCAGGGAAGAAGAGAGAUUGACGGUACCUGCAGAGAAAGCGCCGGCUAACUACGUGCCAGCAGCCGCGGUAAUACGUAGGGCGCGAGCGUUGUCCGGAAUUAUUGGGCGUAAAGAGCUUGUAGGCGGUUUGUCGCGCCUGCUGUGAAGGCCGGGGCUUAACCCCGUGUAUUGCAGUGGGUACGGGCAGACUAGAGUGCAGUAGGGGAGACUGGAAUUCCUGGUGUAGCGGUGGAAUGCGCAGAUAUCAGGAGGAACACCGAUGGCGAAGGCAGGUCUCUGGGCUGUAACUGACGCUGAGAAGCGAAAGCAUGGGGAGCGAACAGGAUUAGAUACCCUGGUAGUCCAUGCCGUAAACGUUGGGCACUAGGUGUGGGGGACAUUCCACGUUUUCCGCGCCGUAGCUAACGCAUUAAGUGCCCCGCCUGGGGAGUACGGCCGCAAGGCUAAAACUCAAAGAAAUUGACGGGGGCCCGCACAAGCGGCGGAGCAUGCGGAUUAAUUCGAUGCAACGCGAAGAACCUUACCAAGGCUUGACAUAUACUGGACCGCAUCAGAGAUGGUGUUUCCCUUCGGGGCUGGUAUACAGGUGGUGCAUGGUUGUCGUCAGCUCGUGUCGUGAGAUGUUGGGUUAAGUCCCGCAACGAGCGCAACCCUCGUUCUAUGUUGCCAGCACGUUAUGGUGGGGACUCAUAGGAGACUGCCGGGGUCAACUCGGAGGAAGGUGGGGAUGACGUCAAAUCAUCAUGCCCCGUAUGUCUUGGGCUUCACGCAUGCUACAAUGGCCGGUACAGAGGGUUGCGAUACUGUGAGGUGGAGCUAAUCCCUAAAAGCCGGUCUCAGUUCGGAUUGGGGUCUGCAACUCGACCCCAUGAAGUCGGAGUCGCUAGUAAUCGCAGAUCAGCAACGCUGCGGUGAAUACGUUCCCGGGCCU
Molecule: ribosomal RNA, 1347 nt
Filed under: uncultured bacterium
Lineage: Bacteria
Description: bacterial SSU rRNA
Rfam family: Bacterial small subunit ribosomal RNA
Source: RNAcentral